GAGUAACGGAGGAGCACGAAGGUUGGCUAAUCCUGGUCGGACAUCAGGAGGUUAGUGCAAUGGCAUAAGCCAGCUUAACUGCGAGACGGACAGGUCGAGCAGGUACGAAAGUAGGUCAUAGUGAUCCGGUGGUUCUGAAUGGAAGGGCCAUCGCUCAACGGAUAAAAGGUACUCCGGGGAUAACAGGCUGAUACCGCCCAAGAGUUCAUAUCGACGGCGGUGUUUGGCACCUCGAUGUCGGCUCAUCACAUCCUGGGGCUGAAGUCGGUCCCAAGGGUAUGGCUGUUCGCCAUUUAAAGUGGUACGCGAGCUGGGUUCAGAACGUCGUGAGACAGUUCGGUCCCUAUCUGCCGUGGGCGUUGGAUGAUUGAAGGGAGUUGCUCCUAGUACGAGAGGACCGGAGUGAACGAACCUCUGGUGUUCGGGUUGUCACGCCAGUGGCACUGCCCGGUAGCUAAGUUCGGAAUCGAUAACCGCUGAAAGCAUCUAAGCGGGAAGCGAGCCCUGAGAUGAGUCAUCCCUGACCCCUUGAGGGUCCUA
This 540-nucleotide ribosomal RNA is filed under the name Aeromonas dhakensis. RNAcentral's name for it is "bacterial LSU rRNA". It matches the Rfam family "Bacterial large subunit ribosomal RNA", at positions 2295 to 2830 of the family's 2925-position model. Lineage: Bacteria; Pseudomonadati; Pseudomonadota; Gammaproteobacteria; Aeromonadales; Aeromonadaceae. The record is from RNAcentral.